CCUACGGGUGGCAGCAGUGAGGAAUAUUGGUCAAUGGCCGUAAGGCUGAACCAGCCAAGUCGCGUGAAGGAAGAAGGAUCUAUGGUUUGUAAACUUCUUUUAUAGGGGAAUAAAGGUAUCCACGUGUGGCUAUUUGCAUGUCCCCUAUGAAUAAGCAUCGGCUAACUCCGUCCCAGCAGCCGCGUUAAUACGGAGGAUGCGAGCUUUAUCCGGAUUUAUUGGGUUAAAGGGGUGCGUAGGCGGACUUUUAAGUCAGCGGUAAAAAUUCGGGGCCCAACCCCGUCCGGCCGUUGAAACUGGGGGCCUUGAGUGCGCGAGAAGAAGGCGGAAUGCGUGGUGUAGCGGUGAAAUGCAUAGAUAUCACGCAGAACCCCGAUUGCGAAGGCAGCCUUCCGGCGCCCUACUGACGCUGAGGCACGAAAGUGCGGGGAUCGAACAGGAUUAGAUACCCCUGUAGUC
This 459-nucleotide ribosomal RNA is filed under the name uncultured bacterium. RNAcentral's name for it is "partial 16S ribosomal RNA". It matches the Rfam family "Bacterial small subunit ribosomal RNA", at positions 338 to 795 of the family's 1533-position model. The record is from RNAcentral.